GGCCUCGUGGUCAAGCGGUCAAGACACCGCCCUUUCACGGCGGUAACAGGAGUUCGAUUCUCCUCGAGGUCACCA
RNAcentral lists this transfer RNA (75 nucleotides) under Clostridiales bacterium. RNAcentral's name for it is "tRNA-Glu". It matches the Rfam family "tRNA". From Rfam's summary of the family: Transfer RNA (tRNA) molecules are approximately 80 nucleotides in length. Their secondary structure includes four short double-helical elements and three loops (D, anti-codon, and T loops). Further hydrogen bonds mediate the characteristic L-shaped molecular structure. tRNAs have two regions of fundamental functional importance: the anti-codon, which is responsible for specific mRNA codon recognition, and the 3' end, to which the tRNAs corresponding amino acid is attached (by aminoacyl-tRNA synthetases). tRNAs cope with the degeneracy of the genetic code in two manners: having more than one tRNA (with a specific anti-codon) for a particular amino acid; and 'wobble' base-pairing, i.e. permitting non-standard base-pairing at the 3rd anti-codon position. RNAcentral also lists the same sequence under 2 other names. The record is from RNAcentral. Lineage: Bacteria; Bacillati; Bacillota; Clostridia; Eubacteriales.